RNAcentral lists this ribosomal RNA (460 nucleotides) under uncultured bacterium. RNAcentral describes it as "partial 16S ribosomal RNA". It matches the Rfam family "Bacterial small subunit ribosomal RNA", at positions 338 to 795 of the family's 1533-position model. The record is from RNAcentral.
CCUACGGGAGGCAGCAGUGAGGAAUAUUGGUCAAUGGGCGCGAGCCUGAACCAGCCAAGUAGCGUGAAGGAUGACUGCCCUAUGGGUUGUAAACUUCUUUUAUAAAGGAAUAAAGUGAGGCACGUGUGCCUUUUUGCAUGUACUUUAUGAAUAAGGAUCGGCUAACUCCGUUCCAGCAGCCGCGGUAAUACGGAGGAUCCGAGCGUUAUCCGGAUUUAUUGGGUUUAAAGGGAGAGUAGAUGGGUUGUUAAGUCAGUUGUGAAAGUGUGCGGCUCAACCGUAAAAUUGCAAUUGAUACUGGAAGGUGUGAGUACAGUUGAGGGAGGCGGAAUUCGUGGUGUAGCGGUGAAAUGCUUAGAUAUCACGAAGAACUCCGAUUGCGAAGGCAGCUUACUAAACUGCCACUGACAUUGAUGCUCGAAAGUGUGGGUAGCAAACAGGAUUAGAUACCCCGGUAGUC